RNAcentral lists this ribosomal RNA (381 nucleotides) under Triticum aestivum (bread wheat). Its description in RNAcentral is "partial small subunit ribosomal RNA". Lineage: Eukaryota; Viridiplantae; Streptophyta; Magnoliopsida; Poales; Poaceae. The record is from RNAcentral.
AUGGUGAGCGUCGUCUGCCGGCCCAGCCGCAUGCCGAGGAGGCCCAGGACGCCCUCUGCAAUGUUGCGCAUCGUGUUUAGCAGCGUCGGCAGCGCGCGGCUACCUACUUGGCACUGCGCCUGCACCGUCAGCCGCUCAAACCGCACCUCCACUGUCGGUAGCUCGAUGCCCACCCUGCAUGGAUCAACGUACCUGUCGAUGCGGUCGCGCAGCUUCUGGAGGAAGCGCUGGUUGUCCUCGUCGGCGACGCGGAAGACGCGCUCGAUGAACUCGUGCCGGUCGCUGACGUCGAGCCUCCGCACGUCCACCUCCUUGUACUGCUGCUGCUGCCCCUUGCCCUGUGCCUCGGCCGAGAAUAUGGCGGUCCUCAUGCGGCUGUAG